AACGAACGCUGGCGGCAUGCCUAACACAUGCAAGUCGAACGAGACCUUCGGGUCUUGUGGCGCACGGGUGCGUAACGCGUGGGAACCUGCCCUUAGGUUCGGCAUAACUCCCCGACAGGGGUGCUAAUACCGGAUAAUUUCUUCGGACCAAUGAUUUAUCGCCUUUGGAUGGGCCCGCGUUGGAUUAGCUAGUUGGUAGGGUAAAAGCCUACCAAGGCGACGAUCCAUAGCUGGUCUGAGAGGAUGAUCAGCCACACUGGGACGGAGACACGGCCCAGACUCCUACGGGAGGAAGCAGUGGGGAAUAUUGGAAAAUGGGCGAAAGCCUGAUCCAGCAAUGCCGCGUGAGUGAUGAAGGCCUUAGGGUUGUAAAGCUCUUUUACCCGGGAUGAUAAUGACAGUACCGGGAGAAUAAGCUCCGGCUAACUCCGUG
Molecule: ribosomal RNA, 433 nt
Filed under: uncultured bacterium
Lineage: Bacteria
Description: partial 16S ribosomal RNA
Rfam family: Bacterial small subunit ribosomal RNA
Source: RNAcentral